Molecule: long non-coding RNA, 670 nt
Filed under: Felis catus (domestic cat)
Lineage: Eukaryota; Metazoa; Chordata; Mammalia; Carnivora; Felidae
Description: lncRNA (ENSFCAG00000053720.1)
Source: RNAcentral
AUGUUACUAGAUCGGGAGUCUGGGUGUCUGGGGGCAGCUGCUAGACAAUUACCUCUAUGCCAGAUACUUGCCAAGGAUCCUGAGCAAAGAUUCUGCCUGACUGUAAGAAAAAGCAUGUUCUCAAUAGAGCAAAAGAAACCCAAUGCUGCCAGCUGCAACUGUCUGAAGAUAAAGAGCUCCAGAUACAAGCCUCACAAAGAAUUUUCUUCAAGGGAAGCUUAAAAUACACACCAUCACAUGAGAGUCACAUGACAUCAGCCAAGACUAAGGCCUUUGGAGACUUCUGGAGAAAGCACUCAAUGGAGUGAUACCAGAGGGGCUGUUCCUGUCAGCCAUGAUUUACGGAUUCUGCAAAAUCAUCUCCCUUCCCUUCUUGUCAUGAAUUAGCUGUGCUCAGCUGGCUGAACUUCUUUUUAUUAGUUUAUUUUUGUUUAUAGAAACAAUACAUGAUGGGGCCCCUGGGUGGCUCAGAUGAUUAAGUGUCUGACUUCGGUUCAGGUCAUGAUAUCACCAUUUGUUAGUUUGAGUCCUGCAUCAAGCUCUUUGCUGAUAGCUCAGAGCCUGGAGCCUACUUCCGAUUCUGGGUCUUCCUCGCUCUCUGCCCCUCCCCCACUCACACUCUGUCAAUCUCUCUCUCAAAAAUAAAAUAAAAAAACAUUAAAAAAAUACA